RNAcentral lists this ribosomal RNA (218 nucleotides) under uncultured bacterium. RNAcentral's name for it is "partial 16S ribosomal RNA". It matches the Rfam family "Bacterial small subunit ribosomal RNA", at positions 30 to 247 of the family's 1533-position model. The record is from RNAcentral.
AUUGAACGCUGGCGGCAUGCCUUACACGUGCAAGUCGAACGGUAACGCGGGGCAACCUGGCGACGAGUGGCGAACGGGUGAGUAACACAUCGGAACGUGCCCAGUAGUGGGGAGUAGCCCGGCCGAAGACCGGAUUAAUACCGCAUACGACCUACGGGUGGAAAGACGGGGAGUCGCAAGACCUCGCGCUAUUGGAGCGGCCGAUGGCAGAUUAGGUA